AGUGAUGAUAACACAGGUCACUGUUGCUCGGGUGUAGAAAGCAAGUUACUGCAACUGCUGUGAAAGACUCGUAAAAGCUUUCUAUUAUCGCAUGGCCUUUUCAGCUUUUCCUAGUUACCCUAGUCAGAAAUGUUGUUUCAUAAAAUUCGCAACUUCAGAGGAUGCUAAGAGGGCCACCAGAGGAGCAUUGCACAAUCAAUACACUUUACCCGGGGUGAGUUUAAUAAAUGGUUCUCUUCCAGCACUUGCAACUUUACCGUCUCCAGUCCCUCAAGUGCCAGUUUCCUAGCCUCAGGUUGCACUUCCUCGUUACUGGACGAACAGACCUCCCCUGAAGGGCACAAUACUAUUAUAAUACUGUAACAAGUGAAAGCAGUGGGAGAAGCAGAAAUUACCUCAUCCACAAAAAUCUCCUGUUCAACAAUUCAAUCUCAGUCAAAAACGCAGGCGCAACUGCAGAUCCUAUCUACCCAACAAGCCCCUCGGUCACAACAAAGUCAGAUUCAACCGCAGAUGCAUCACCAGCAACAGUUGCAGCAACGUUCUUUAGUUUCACAGGAACAUGUUUUAGAGGAUAAAAGCAAGAUGCCAGCCAAAGCUUUGUUUACUUGAGGAGAGAAGGACGAUGCCACAAAGGAAGGAAAAUGAGAGAUACACAAUGGUUGAUGCGGCAAAUUGUAUGGUAGAGAUGCAUGCUAACAAGAGGCAAGAGCAGAAGUCUGAGAGUGCUGCACUGUGCUCUUCCUCUGUGGAAAAGGGGAAAAGUAAAUGAAAGGCAAUUGCUAAAUACUACCUCCAUUCCUAAAAAAGAGGUACUACCACUUUUCAUUUUAGCCUAAAAAUAGGCCGAACUGAUAAAAAUAAAAAAUAACUCUUUUUUAGGAACGGAGGGAGUAAUAAAUUACUUUUAUUACUAUUUAUUUGUUUGUGAAUCUUAAGAAGUGUACUUUUCUUUCUAAGGUUACAUUUUUGGAAGAUGGGGUAUCUGAUAAAGGCAUUCAUGUUGAUCCUUCUAAAAUUAAAGCUAUUCAAGAUUGGCAUAUUCUUACUUCAGUUAAAGAUAUUUCAAGCAAUUUUCAUGGCUUGCCUUCAUUUUAUGGAAGAUUUAUUAGAAAUUUCAGUAUUAUUGCAGCAUCCAUUACUGUAUGUCUCAAACAAGACAGAUUUGUUUGGACUGAAGAAACUGAUAAGAGUUUUUAUGUUCUUAAGCAGAAGUUGUGUACAGCUCCGAUUCUAGCUUUGCCUGACUUUUCUAAACCUUUUGUUAUUGAUUGUGAUGCUUCAAUCAUUGGCGUUAAGGCCAUCUAGUUGCUUUUCACAA
Papaver somniferum (opium poppy) is the source of this 1321-nucleotide long non-coding RNA. RefSeq lists it as uncharacterized. NCBI's taxonomy places the organism in Eukaryota, Viridiplantae, Streptophyta, Magnoliopsida, Ranunculales, Papaveraceae. The record is from RefSeq and is a predicted model, not a curated record. The transcript is spliced from 5 exons.